CCUACGGGAGGCAGCAGUGAGGAAUAUUGGUCAAUGGACGAGGGUCUGAACCAGCCAAGUAGCGUGAAGGAUGACUGCCCUAUGGGUUGUAAACUUCCUUUAUAUGGGAAUAAAAUGUUCCACGUGUGGGAUUUUGUAUGUACCAUAUGAAUAAGGAUCGGCUAACUCCGUGCCAGCAGCCGCGGUAAUACGGAGGAUCCGAGCGUUAUCCGGAUUUAUUGGGUUUAAAGGGAGCGUAGGUGGAUUGUUAAGUCAGUUGUGAAAGUUUGCGGCUCAACCGUAAAAUUGCAGUUGAAACUGGCAGUCUUGAGUACAGUAGAGGUGGGCGGAAUUCGUGGUGUAGCGGUGAAAUGCUUAGAUAUCACGAAGAACUCCGAUUGCGAAGGCAGUUCACUGGACUGCAACUGACACUGAGGCUCGAAAGUGUGGGUAUCAAACAGGAUUAGAUACCCUAGUAGUC
RNAcentral lists this ribosomal RNA (460 nucleotides) under uncultured bacterium. RNAcentral's name for it is "partial 16S ribosomal RNA". It matches the Rfam family "Bacterial small subunit ribosomal RNA", at positions 338 to 795 of the family's 1533-position model. The record is from RNAcentral.